AGAUACGAAUAACAAAUAAUAGUAGUAGUAGUAGUGUUGUUGUUAACAAAACGAAGGUUUAUUUAACGUUGAGAUGAUCGGUCGCCGUUUAAAACUUUGCUUCUUAAAUUUUUUUCUUCAAUAAAUCUUUGCAACAAUCCGUGAUAUUGAAUCGA
Long non-coding RNA from Diprion similis, 155 nucleotides. RefSeq lists it as uncharacterized. Lineage: Eukaryota; Metazoa; Arthropoda; Insecta; Hymenoptera; Diprionidae. The transcript is spliced from 3 exons. The record is from RefSeq and is a predicted model, not a curated record.